GGCUCAGUAACGCGUAGUCAACCUAACCUAUGGACGGGAAUGACCUCGGGAAACUGAGAAUAAUGCCCGAUAGAACACUAUAUCUGGAAUGGUUUGUGUUCCAAAUGAUUUAUCGCCGUAGGAUGGGACUGCGGCCUAUCAGUUUGUUGGUGAGGUAAUGGCCCACCAAGACUAUUACAGGUACGGGCUCUGAGAGGAGUAGCCCGGAGAUGGGUACUGAGACACGGACCCAGGCCCUAUGGGGCGCAGCAGGCGAGAAAACUUUGCAAUGUGCGAAAGCACGACAAGGUUAAUCCGAGUGGUUUGUGCUAAACGAACCUUUUGUCGGUCCUAGAAACACCGAUGAAUAAGGGGUGGGCAAGUUCUGGUGUCAGCCGCCGCGGUAAAACCAGCACCUCAAGUGGUCAGGAUGAUUAUUGGGCCUAAAGCAUCCGUAGCCGGCGCUGUAAGUUUUCGGUUAAAUCUGUACGCUCAACGUACAGGCUGCCGGGAAUACUGCAGCGCUAGGGAGUGGGAGAGGUAGACGGUACUCGGUAGGAAGGGGUAAAAUCCUUUGAUCUAUUGAUGACCACCUGUGGCGAAGGCGGUCUACCAGAACACGUCCGACGGUGAGGGAUGAAAGCUGGGGGAGCAAACCGGAUUAGAUACCCGGGUAGUCCCAGCUGUAAACUAUGCAAACUCAGUGAUGCAUUGGCUUGUGGCCAAUGCAGUGCUGCAGGGAAGCCGUUAAGUUUGCCGCCUGGGAAGUACGUACGCAAGUAUGAAACUUAAAGGAAUUGGCGGGGGAGCACCACAAGGGGUGAAGCCUGCGGUUCAAUUGGAGUCAACGCCGGA
Molecule: ribosomal RNA, 834 nt
Filed under: uncultured crenarchaeote
Lineage: Archaea; Thermoproteati; Thermoproteota
Description: bacterial SSU rRNA
Rfam family: Archaeal small subunit ribosomal RNA
Source: RNAcentral